GUACUCAUAUACAGAUAUUUCCUGGUGUCAAAAGUGAAAGUAAACCCCGGGUGUUGCAAUCGUGACACGUUGGCACUGAGAAAAGCUUAUUUUGGAUACCAAAAAGUAGUGUGUGUAGUGAUCAACCAUGGUGAUCAGUUCGGCUCAGCUGCUUAACAUUAUGGAGGAUCUGGACUCAGGCGGGUUGAAGAGAUUUCAGUGGUUCCUGACUCAGGGUGUGUUGAAUGACUAUCCUCCCAUCCCAAAGAGCUUGCUGGAGAAUAGAGACAGGAUGGACACAGUGGAUAAAAUGGUGCAGAGCUACAGACUGGACGGUGCUGUGACAAUCACUCUGAAGAUCCUGGAGAAGAUGAACCAGAAUAGUCUUGCUGAGAAGUUAAAUAAAUACGUAUAGCUAGAGAGAAGAGGCUCAGUGGCUCUGCUGACCAAGCUGAUAAAUAAGGAUAAAGCUAAGGGGAGAUUCUACCUGACCCUGUCAGCGGACCUGGAGAAGCAGACAACAUCCUGAAAGAUGUCAUGCAUACAGCAAGAUUAAAGGGGUGUUGUUCUGAAUUCAACACAAGCCAAACGAGAAUGAGCAAGAACAUCUUCAUUUGCCUUGCUGUUUCAAACAAAAGGACAUUACUGUAUACUAAUAAGCUGAUCCAACAGGGGUUGUUACAAGGCAAACUUAAGACUAACAAUAUUGUUUGAACCCCAGGAAGUGUAGCUGCUGCCUUGGCAGCUAAUUAGGGAUCCUAAUAAAUACAAAAUUGUUUAAUGUAUGGACAGCAAGCACACAGUCGAAAUAUACAUUUAUUUUUUUGCCUUCACAUGUAUAUGGCUGUUUGACAAGAUUAGGCCUAAUACUGGACUGUUGUGGGCUGUAUUGCAUGCAAAGAUAGCCCUUUUUUAUUUUUUAACAUUAGCUUGGUUUACAGUGCACUGUUCCUCAAUAUGGAGUCACUUAGAAAUGUCCUUGUUUUUGAAAGAAAUACACAUUUUUAUCCAUUAAAAUUGAUCAGAAAUACA
This is a long non-coding RNA of Oncorhynchus masou masou (cherry salmon), 1011 nucleotides long. RefSeq lists it as uncharacterized. Lineage: Eukaryota; Metazoa; Chordata; Actinopteri; Salmoniformes; Salmonidae. The record is from RefSeq and is a predicted model, not a curated record. The transcript has 3 exons.